This 449-nucleotide ribosomal RNA is filed under the name uncultured prokaryote. Its description in RNAcentral is "bacterial SSU rRNA". It matches the Rfam family "Bacterial small subunit ribosomal RNA", at positions 355 to 796 of the family's 1533-position model. The record is from RNAcentral.
UCGAGAAUCAUUCACAAUGGGGGAAACCCUGAUGGUGCAACGCCGCGUGGAGGAUGACGGCCUUCGGGUUGUAAACUCCUGUCAUCUGGGAGUAAGCCUUGGGCGUUAAUAGCGUGCAAGGUUGAUAGUACCAGAAGAGGAAGGGACGGCUAACUUCGUGCCAGCAGCCGCGGUAAUACGAGGGUCCCAAGCGUUGUUCGGAAUCACUGGGCGUAAAGCGUGCGUAGGCGGCGCGGUAAGUCAGAUGUGAAAUCUUCGGGCUCAACCCGGAAACUGCAUCCGAUACUGCCGUGCUGGAGUAAUGGAGGGGUAGCUGGAAUUCUCGGUGUAGCAGUGAAAUGCGUAGAUAUCGAGAGGAACACUCGUGGCGAAGGCGAGCUACUGGACAUUUACUGACGCUGAGGCACGAAGGCCAGGGGAGCGAAAGGGAUUAGAUACCCCCGUAGUCC